Molecule: long non-coding RNA, 1565 nt
Organism: Raphanus sativus (radish)
Lineage: Eukaryota; Viridiplantae; Streptophyta; Magnoliopsida; Brassicales; Brassicaceae
Exons: 6
Source: RefSeq, a predicted model, not a curated record
CUUUGAUUGUGAAACAGGCCCAGGCCCAUCUCUCCAUCAACCCUCUUCCUGUCGUCACUUCGUCUUCCUCACACCCCUGCGAUCUCCCCGAUGAGAUCCUCAAAUUUCAGUCGGCGGCGUUGAUCAGUAACGUCUCCCCUUUCAAUUAAUCACCUCUUUACUCCGGCUUUAAUCGUUUCAUCCAACCCGACUUAAAAAUACCUCUUUGUCUUCCUUAAAAACCCAAAGAAGGCUUCCCUAUAAAUAUCGGUCUCCUCCUGCUGCAAUGAGCGCACCUCACACAAUAUCAGAAAGGACUCUUAUUCCCAGCAAUCGAUUUCCAUGUCUUCAUACACUCUGCUUGCUGAUCUCAGAGCCGGCCGAUGCUCUAACACCGCCGAUGUGCGUCUGCUGCAUUUUUGGGAGGCCAGAAAUAUCACCAGUGGAGACCUCAUCAGAAAUAUCAUCGAUGAGAAUGAACGAACUGCUACAAGACCCUUCAUGGAACUUGCAUAACUAAAGCUCUUAAAAAGCCUAAGCCCCACAAAUUUAGAAUCUUCGACGUUGGUACCGAGAAAGGUAGGUCGGUGAAGGAGAUUGUUUAAGUCGUCUUGCAAGAACCAUGAGAAGGAAUUUAACUGGAGCAAGAGUUCCUUAUGCUUUGAAUUUCUCAAUGUUAACAGAAAAUCAUCAUUACAUCCAGCAGUCCCACUUCAAGAGUAACUUAUCCGAAGGCUUUAGCUUCAAACCUCUACGUCGUAUGGUCCACCAAAGAUUGUUCUUUUUAUAUGAUUGCAACUUGGCUUGAACUAUAAAAUAUCCUUGCUUCUACAAGUAAAUCCAAUCAAAAUCAUAUGAAUUUCAACUUAUUUAUUGGCUUCAGGGUACCUCCUUUGCAGGGCCUUGGAUGGAAGACAAAAGUAUAUCUUCCUGGUGGAUGGUGGACUUAGGCGAAGAUCACCAGCUUAUGUGCAACUACUACACUUUCAGACGAUGGGUCAAGAGCAUACGCUAGGUCCUGGAGUUUCAGAUUGAGAAAACUGUCCUUUUCAUGUUGGAACAACAAGGGUUGCUCGCAGGAAAACUAGCCACACUGAGGGAACGCAUGAUGAUGUACUUGCGCAGCCAGACAUAUCAAAAUUGUUCACCUACGAGAAUCAUAAAGAGAUGUUGGAAGAGAUCUUCUACAACUUCUGGUAUUCGUUGAGUUGAACGCCAUUGGUCUGCGCAAGAUAUUUAAGAAAUUUGGCAAACGCUUUGGUUAAAGAUUCGCCGACUACUACGUGUAAGCCCGUGUUUUUUUGACGUCCAAGCCAGCCAAUUUCACGACGGCGGUGGGUGUGGAGCCAGCAUUAACCCCAAAAUCGAAGGUGAUUACCAUCUUCUUUCCAGACUCCGGAGUGGACUUUUGUUCUGUAACUAAUUUCGUAUAACUUCUAUGCCAAGCAUUAACCACUAGCAUUAACCCAAAAAAUCUCUGGUUGUGAUUCUUCUUCUACCACUAUAGAAUCUUAACAAUGGCAACCAUUAUGGGGCUGUGAAAAACUGUAAAUGCGAGUUCAAUAAAGCACAUCACUGAUAUAAUU